RNAcentral lists this long non-coding RNA (885 nucleotides) under Homo sapiens (human). RNAcentral's name for it is "non-protein coding lnc-TUBGCP6-1:3". The record is from RNAcentral. Lineage: Eukaryota; Metazoa; Chordata; Mammalia; Primates; Hominidae.
GUCAGAGGUGCGAGGGGAGGUAGGGCGGGCAGGGCCGGGGUGUGAGACCAGGUGUCACGACUGUUGUGUCUCCCUCACAGUGCCCUAGAGUCCAUCCAGAGUGCCCGUGCUGCCCAGGCCCCGCACUGGAAGAGCCUCCAGCAGCAAGAUGUGACCGCUGUGCCGAUGAGCCCCAGCAGCCACUCCCCAGAGGGGAGGCCUCCACCUCUGCUGCCUGGGGGUCCAGUGUGUAAGGCAGCUGCAUCUGCACCGAGCUCCCUCCUGGACCAGCCGUGCCUCUGCCCCGCACCCUCUGUCCGCACCGCUGUUGCCCUGACAACGCCGGAUAUCACAUUGGUUCUGCCCCCUGACGUCAUCCAACAGGAAGCGUCAGCCCUGAGGGAGGAGACAGAAGCCUGGGCCAGGUGAACAGUGGUAUAGCAGCCACUCCAGCCUCUGCUGCAGCAGCCACCCUGGAUGUGGCUGUUCGGAGAGGCCUGUCCCACGGAGCCCAGAGGUAAGCCUCACUUGGCCAUCCUGAGCCUCUGACGGCAGGACCUGUGGGCACCCCUAUCCUGGCUGGCCAAGCACAGAGAGUUCUGGGAAUGGACUCUGGACAACAUGAACACCUGUCCUGAGGCCAGCUCUUCUUCCAGGCUGCUGUGCGUGGCCCUGGGACAGCUGGACCGGCCUCCAGACCUCGCCCAUGACGGGAGGAGUCUGUGGCUGAACAUCAGGGGCAAGGAGGCGGCUGCCCUAUCCAUGUUCCAUGUCUCCACGCCACUGCCAGUGAUGACCGGUGGUUUCCUGAGCUGCAUCUUGGGCUUGGUGCUGCCCCUGGCCUAUGGCUUCCAGCCUGACCUGGUGCUGGUGGCGCUGGGGCCUGGCCAUGGCCUGCAGGGCCCC